Long non-coding RNA from Xiphophorus hellerii (green swordtail), 522 nucleotides. RefSeq lists it as uncharacterized. The record is from RefSeq and is a predicted model, not a curated record. The transcript is spliced from 3 exons. NCBI's taxonomy places the organism in Eukaryota, Metazoa, Chordata, Actinopteri, Cyprinodontiformes, Poeciliidae.
CUUCAUCCUGCCUUCUACACAACCUCUAUUUGAUUUUGAUACAUUUUAAAGAAUGAAGUGCAGUGUGAUCAUUUUUGUGCUGUCCGCGGUUGUCCUUGCGGCUCAACCUGGAGAAGGUUUUUUACACCUCCUCCCUGGCAUCAUCAAAGAUGUUGGUCAUGGUAUUAAUGGCCUUGCUCACCUGAUUCAUGGGCCUGGAGACAAUGAAGUACAAGCAGACCAGCAGCAACUGGCCCAGCAGGAAGUGGACCAGCAGAAACUGGCCCAGCAAGAAGUGGACCAGCAGAAACUGGCCCAGCAAAAAGUGGACCAGCAGCAGCAACUUAAGGCUGUAAAAUAUCGUAUUGCUUAGACUCAGUGAACAAACCUGAGAAUGCUUUCAAGCUUGAACUAAUUCUACAAGUAGUCUUGUCUAUAACCUCGAGAAUUCUUUCUUGAAAGUGUAUUCUUUGCUAAAAAUUAAGUUGAUCAGUUUGGCUCUUAGCCUGUUGAACAAUAAACUUCUGCAGCAGCAUAUUGAAA